Molecule: ribosomal RNA, 427 nt
Filed under: uncultured bacterium
Lineage: Bacteria
Description: bacterial SSU rRNA
Rfam family: Bacterial small subunit ribosomal RNA
Source: RNAcentral
UGGGGAAUUUUGGACAAUGGACGCAAGUCUGAUCCAGCCAUGCCGCGUGCGGGAAGAAGGCCUUCGGGUUGUAAACCGCUUUUGUCAGGGAAGAAACGAGUUUCUCUAAUACAGAGACUUAAUGACGGUACCUGAAGAAUAAGCACCGGCUAACUACGUGCCAGCAGCCGCGGUAAUACGUAGGGUGCGAGCGUUAAUCGGAAUUACUGGGCGUAAAGCGUGCGCAGGCGGUUUCGUAAGACAGACGUGAAAUCCCCGGGCUCAACCUGGGAACUGCGUUUGUGACUGCGAGGCUAGAGUUUGGCAGAGGGGGGUGGAAUUCCGCGUGUAGCAGUGAAAUGCGUAGAUAUGCGGAGGAACACCGAUGGCGAAGGCAAUCCCCUGGGCCUGCACUGACGCUCAUGCACGAAAGCGUGGGGAGCAAACA